RNAcentral lists this ribosomal RNA (520 nucleotides) under uncultured Glomus. RNAcentral's name for it is "SSU rRNA". It matches the Rfam family "Eukaryotic small subunit ribosomal RNA", at positions 569 to 1087 of the family's 1831-position model. The record is from RNAcentral. Lineage: Eukaryota; Fungi; Glomeromycota; Glomeromycetes; Glomerales; Glomeraceae.
AGCAGCCGCGGUAAUUCCAGCUCCAAUAGCGUAUAUUAAAGUUGUUGCAGUUAAAAAGCUCGUAGUUGAAUUUCGGGGUUAGUAGGUUGGUCAUGCCUCUGGUAUGUACUGGUCUCACUGAUUCCUCCUUCCUUAUGAACCGUAAUGCCAUUAAUUUGGUGUUGCGGGGAAUUUGGACUGUUACUUUGAAAAAAAUUAGAGUGUUUAAAGCAAGCUAACGCUUGAAUACAUUAGCAUGGAAUAAUGAAAUAGGACGUUCGAUCUUAUUUUUGUUGGUUUCUAGGAUUGACGUAAUGAUUAAUAGGGAUAGUUGGGGGCAUUAGUAUUCAAUUGUCAGAGGUGAAAUUCUUGGAUUUAUUGAAGACUAACUACUGCGAAAGCAUUUGCCAAGGAUGUUUUCAUUAAUCAAGAACGAAAGUUAGGGGAUCGAAGACGAUCAGAUACCGUCGUAGUCUUAACCAUAAACUAUGCCGACUAGGGAUCGGAUGAUGUUAAUUUUUUUAAUGACUCAUUCGGCGCC